UGGGGAAUUUUGGACAAUGGGCGAAAGCCUGAUCCAGCAAUGCCGCGUGUGUGAAGAAGGCCUUCGGGUUGUAAAGCACUUUUGUCCGGAAAGAAAUCCUUGGCUCUAAUACAGUCGGGGGAUGACGGUACCGGAAGAAUAAGCACCGGCUAACUACGUGCCAGCAGCCGCGGUAAUACGUAGGGUGCAAGCGUUAAUCGGAAUUACUGGGCGUAAAGCGUGCGCAGGCGGUUUGCUAAGACCGAUGUGAAAUCCCCGGGCUCAACCUGGGAACUGCAUUGGUGACUGGCAGGCUAGAGUAUGGCAGAGGGGGGUAGAAUUCCACGUGUAGCAGUGAAAUGCGUAGAGAUGUGGAGGAAUACCGAUGGCGAAGGCAGCCCCCUGGGCCAAUACUGACGCUCAUGCACGAAAGCGUGGGGGAGCAAACAGGUUUAGAUACCCCUGGUAGUCCACGCCCUAAACGAUGUCAACUAGUUGUUGGGGAUUCAUUUCCUUAGUAACGUAGCUAACGCGUGAAGUUGACCGCCUGGGGAGUACGGUCGCAAGAUUAAAACUCAAAUGAAUUGACGGGGUCAUAGCUGUUUCCU
Molecule: ribosomal RNA, 587 nt
Filed under: uncultured bacterium
Lineage: Bacteria
Description: partial 16S ribosomal RNA
Rfam family: Bacterial small subunit ribosomal RNA
Source: RNAcentral